GUUUUGAAAAAGUUUGCACACAGUACAAACAACAAAGUUACAUAUUAACAACGCCCGGUAAAGUCCUUUGAGAGAAAUAUUAUUGAGAAUAAUUUGAGUUCAUUUCUUUGAAAUCACAUAUAAAAUCAUUAUGCCUGCAGGCUGCAAACUUGUAACAAGAACUGCUAUACUACUUACAUCCAGUACUUUUGUUGCACGUUAUUUUUUUUCACUAAUAGUUAACUGGUUAUUAUUCAAAACCAGUCUUUCAAUAAACUGCAAUUCCAAAAACCCAACCCUCCAAUAAUGCUGUUCACUUAACUUAUACCUGACAAGUGUCAGAUCCACAAUCUUAUCUCCGUCGUUAUGCUUCUUCAGUGAGUUGCAAUUUAUUACUCCCAUGGCACAAAAUAAACUUCUGGAAUGCUGCCAACACAUCAGAUCACUUCUCAGAGAGAGAGUAACAAAGCAUUAAACACGCAUCCUGCUGAUCAAACAAAAUAAUUGAACACACAGCAGCAGACAGCGAGAUACCAUGAAUGGCGAACAUCACAGUGAAAAGUAGAAAAUACUAGUCAGGGAGCCAACCGCACAAUUUUCCAUGCUUGUUUCCCACGGAUCUCUUGAGGAACAUAUUGCAACCUGCAAAGAAAGCAUAAUACAUACAUUUGCAAUGGGGCCGACUCAUUUGAAUUGAAUACAGUUGUUCAAAUAUCUCUUCUUGGAUGUAAAUCCCAUUUUGCAUCUCCCGUUUUCAAGAAGAAAUUAUAUUCAUUUAAUAACUUGUACAUUUAUUUUGCGAAUUAUCAUUGUACUUCCUAGUAAAUGAGUUGCCUGAUGUCUAACAACACUGUUGCUAAAACAAUCAUUUGGUUAAUAAAAGCACAAGACACAUCAGAUGAAGUAAUUUUAAAAGACCUUGGUGCCACUCUGUAUUUUUGAAACUUGAACAAGCAACACAGUAAAGGAGGGGUGUGCACAGUUGCAUGUAUGUAGUCCACACAACUAAGGGUGUGCAUGGUUCCUGCUUCUCCCGAAAAGAACUGACAUUGUACGACUCAAAUCAUACCGAACAGAAAAACUGAACUGGUUUUAUACAAAUGUUUUCUAUAUCUUUUAGAUAAACUAUAAAAUUUCAAUGUACACACACGCGCGCGCGUGUGUGUGUGUACCGUGUACAUAUAUGUAUAUGCAUAUAAAAUCUAUACAGUUACACUUAUAUUUGUAUAUAAUUUAUAAUGAAUCUAAUUAAAUCUUAUACUAUUCCAUUCAUUUUUUACCGGCAAUAUAAAUAAUAAAGCAGGAGUAAUGGAUGAAAAUAACCUGUCAUGCAAGCGAGACUGUUGUCCUUGCCAAAACUCGAAAAGCUCUGGUUUAAGCCUGUAUCCUCCCCAGUGUUUAGGUUUUGGGAUCAAAUUUAUGUCAGAGAACUUUUCCUCUAAUUCUUUGAAUUGUUGGUAUAGAACAUGCCUUCCAGGAACUAUAGUACUCUGACGGAGGAAAGAAAAUUAUACCGUGCCAUGGCCUAUACAAACAAGUAGUUUCACAUAUUGGAUACAAUUAGAAAACUGAAAGUAAAAGGAACCUGCUUGCUGACUAUUGCUCCAAUCUGACUUCCUCGAGGGCGGCUAUGGAAGUAUUGUUCAGAUUCCUCAUCUGAGACUUUCUGCACAAAUCCUUCCACCCUUACCUGCCGAUUAAGACCAUCCCAGUAGAAAAGGAGUGAUGCUUGAGGAUUUUCAGAUAAUUGAUUUGCCUUUCUACUUUCAUAAUUGGUGCACCAGACAAACCCAUCUUUAUCAAUUCCUUUCAACAAUACCAUUCUAGAUGAGGGUUUUCCAUCCUGUCCAACAGUUGACAAGCACAUAGCAUUUGGCUCCUUCAGUCCAGCAGCCACAGCAUCAUCAAACCAUUUGCGGAACUGAUCAAUGGGAUUAGCCUCCACCUGUUCCUCAAGGAAUUCAGGAGAAAUAUAGUUCUCCCUUAGAGCUGAUAUAUCAAUUUGCGGAGGCUUUCCAAUUCGGACACACAUAGAAGUGCCAGGAUAUGGUGGGAGAUGCAGCUUAUAUUUCUCCACUAUUGAUGGUGGGACAAACCUACCGCCUAGAAAGUGGUGUGGACCAGAAAAUUUCUUUGCACACAACUUUGGAGCAGUCAAAGAAACCAACAUGUCAGGUUUAAUUCCUUCACCAGCAACAUCGCCUUCUUCAACAUUCCAUCCAGAUGGAAUAUCUACAGAGACAAUAACUGAGGACUUUUGGCGAGUUUGAUUGCACUUAUGCAAGUAAACCAACUUUUGGAUUAGAUCAUCAAAAGGUGGUCUUGGGGUACCAUGGAAUGAGAACCCAAACAUUGCGUCUACUAGAAUAUCAAAGUCCUUUGACAAAUCUGAAGGCAAAUCUCCCACUGUCAAGAGAGGGACUGCCAGUGAUUCCAGCUGAGUAACCAGACCAGUAUAAAGAGGUUUGGCAGUGCGCUUUGGAUAGCAAACAAAUGGUUUGUAUCCAAAGUGAUGCAGAUGGCGAACUGCUACCAAACCAUCACCACCAUUGUUCCCCGGACCACAAAUCGCAAGAACACGAUUAAACUCGCUUGGUUUGUAAACCUCUGCUAUGGAAGUAGCAACGCUCAAACCAGCCAAUUCCAUCAACUGAUUGACGCUAAACCCGAGAGGACCCAUAAGAAUCUCAUCAAUCUCCGCGGCUUCACGCUGCGUGAGGUAGGAUAUGGACACUGGACUUGUCAUGCUUUGCAUUACUCUAGUCGCUUCUACAGAUGAAUUCGAAGCAAAUGAACGAAUUCUCGGAAGCGAAAUCGCACAUGUAGAACCCCAAGAUUUUUCUACGAGGGGAUGGUAGAGAGAGCGAGAGGAUUUGCAAAUGGAAGGAGCGUUAUGUAAAUUGUGAGUGAGAGCGGAAGGGAGCAGUUGGCUGAAAAGUAAACAUGUCAUUUCUCGGCACUAUUAGCAUCAAUAUCAUCGCUAACCAGAUUCUUCUUUAUUUCCGUCUCACCAUUCCUGGAUAAAUCUUGAUUUUGCAAAACCGAG
Molecule: unclassified non-coding RNA, 3025 nt
Filed under: Hevea brasiliensis (rubber tree)
Lineage: Eukaryota; Viridiplantae; Streptophyta; Magnoliopsida; Malpighiales; Euphorbiaceae
Source: RNAcentral